GGGCGCUUGGUCUAGGGGUAUGAUUUUCGCUUCGCACAUAACCUUCGAGUUGGUACGAAUAUGUGAAAGGUCGUGGGUUCAAUUCCCACAGUGUCCA
Molecule: transfer RNA, 97 nt
Filed under: Colletotrichum chlorophyti
Lineage: Eukaryota; Fungi; Ascomycota; Sordariomycetes; Glomerellales; Glomerellaceae
Rfam family: tRNA
About the family: Transfer RNA (tRNA) molecules are approximately 80 nucleotides in length. Their secondary structure includes four short double-helical elements and three loops (D, anti-codon, and T loops). Further hydrogen bonds mediate the characteristic L-shaped molecular structure. tRNAs have two regions of fundamental functional importance: the anti-codon, which is responsible for specific mRNA codon recognition, and the 3' end, to which the tRNAs corresponding amino acid is attached (by aminoacyl-tRNA synthetases). tRNAs cope with the degeneracy of the genetic code in two manners: having more than one tRNA (with a specific anti-codon) for a particular amino acid; and 'wobble' base-pairing, i.e. permitting non-standard base-pairing at the 3rd anti-codon position.
Source: Rfam by way of RNAcentral